This 1957-nucleotide ribosomal RNA is filed under the name human gut metagenome. RNAcentral describes it as "bacterial LSU rRNA". It matches the Rfam family "Bacterial large subunit ribosomal RNA", at positions 1 to 1983 of the family's 2925-position model. The record is from RNAcentral.
GAAAGUAAGCAAGGGCAGACGGUGGAUGCCUUGGCUCUCGGAGGCGAUGAAGGACGUGAUAAGCUGCGAUAAGCUUGGGGUAGGUGCAAAUAACCUUUGAUCCCAAGAUUUCCGAAUGGGGCAACCCGGCUGGUAGAAGGCCAGUCAUUCCGUAAGGAAGGCGAACGUGGGGAACUGAAACAUCUAAGUACCCAUAGGAGAAGAAAACAAAAGUGAUUCCGCAAGUAGUGGCGAGCGAACGCGGAACAGCCCAAACCGAUGAUGUUUAGGCAUUGUCGGGGUAGUAGGACCACGUUGUGGCAAGAGAUUAAGGAAGUAGAACGUUUUGGAACAAACGGCCGUAGACGGUGAAAGCCCAGUAUACGACUCUUUAACGAAGCCUAGUGGAAUCCUGAGUAGCGCGGAGCACGAGAAAUUCUGUGUGAAUCAGCGGGGCCCAUCCCGUAAGGCUAAAUACUCCCGAGAGACCGAUAGCGAACCAGUACUGUGAAGGAAAGGUGAAAAGCACCUCGAACAGAGGAGUGAAAUAGUCCCUGAAACCGUCUGCCUACAAGCGGUCGGAGCAACGUAAGUUGUGACGGCGUGCCUUUUGCAUAAUGAACCUACGAGUUACUUUCUCCGGCAAGGUUAAGGGCUUCAGGCCCGGAGCCGAAGCGAAAGCGAGUCUUAAUAGGGCGUGAUAGUCGGAGUGAGUAGACGCGAAACCAAGUGAUCUACCCUUGGUCAGGAUGAAGGUUGGGUAACACCAACUGGAGGUCCGAAUGGGUAUACGUUGAAAAGUGUUCCAAUGAACUGAGGGUAGGGGUGAAAGGCUAAUCAAACUUGGAGAUAGCUCGUACUCCCCGAAAUGCAUUUAGGUGCAGCCUUUAUUUAGUAUAGCAUGAGGUAGAGCGACUGAUUGGAUGCGAGGGCUUCACCGCCUAUCAAGUCCAGAUAAACUCCGAAUGCGUGCUAUAUAUUGAUAAGGAGUGAGGGCGCGGGUGCUAAGGUCCGCGUCCGAGAGGAGAAGAAUCCAGACCAUCAGCUAAGGUCCCCAAAUAACAGUUAAGUUGAACUAACGAAGUCGGACUGCAGAGACAGCUAGGAUGUUGGCUUGGAAGCAGCCAUUCAUUUAAAGAGUGCGUAACAGCUCACUAGUCGAGGAGUCCGGCGUGGAUAAUACUCGGGCAUAAACUGUUUACCGAAGCUAUGGAUGUAGAAAUACAUGGUAGGGGAGCAUUCCAACGGCGUCGAAGGUGAAGGAUGACCUUUGCUGGAGCUUUUGGAAACGCAAAUGUAGGUAUAAGUAACGAUAAAGGAGGUGAGAAACCUCCUCGCCGAAAGACUAAGGUUUCCUGAUCAACGUUAAUCGGAUCAGGGUAAGUCGGGACCUAAGGUUAAGCCGAACGGCGAUACCGAUGGAAGAAUGGUUUAAUAUUCCCAUACUACUUUAUGGAGCGAUGUGGAGACGGAGAAGUGAAAGUCCUGCCAUCUGACGGAAUAGGUGGUUGAAGAGUGUAGAUGUAGAUUCCUGUAGGCAAAUCCGCAGGGAGAGUCGACCUUGACAGUAUGCCGCGUGCUUGCACAAGGCAAAAUGGACGUAAUCAGGCUCCCAAGAAAAUCCGCUAAGCAUAUUCAUAAAGUACCCGUACCGUAAACGGACACACGUAGUUGGGUUGAAAAUACUGAGGCGCUCGAGUGAUUCACGGUUAAGGAACUAGGCAAAUUGACCCUGUAACUUCGGGAUAAAGGGUCCCUACCGAGAGGUAGGGCGCAGAGAAUAGGUCCAGGCAACUGUUUAACAAAAACACAUGGCUGUGCGAAAUAGAAAUAUGAAGUAUACAGCCUGACACCUGCCCGGUGCUGGAAGGUUAAGAGGAGAGCUCAUCGCAAGAGAAGGCUUGAAUUGAAGCCCCAGUAAACGGCGGCCGUAACUAUAACGGUCCUAAGGUAGCGAAAUUCCUUGUCGGGUAAGUUC